GACGAGCCGGACGAACGUUAUUCGGAAUUACUGGGCGUAAAGCGCACGUAGGCGGGUCGUUAAGUCAGGGGUGAAAUCCCGGAGCUCAACUCCGGAACUGCCUUUGAUACUGGCGAUCUAGAGAUCGGAAGAGGUUAGUGGAAUUCCCAGUGUAGAGGUGAAAUUCGUAGAUAUUGGGAAGAACACCAGUGGCGAAGGCGGCUAACUGGUCCGAUACUGACGCUGAGGUGCGAAAGCGUGGGGAGCAAACAGG
RNAcentral lists this ribosomal RNA (253 nucleotides) under uncultured bacterium. RNAcentral's name for it is "partial 16S ribosomal RNA". It matches the Rfam family "Bacterial small subunit ribosomal RNA", at positions 524 to 776 of the family's 1533-position model. The record is from RNAcentral.